Molecule: ribosomal RNA, 253 nt
Filed under: uncultured bacterium
Lineage: Bacteria
Description: partial 16S ribosomal RNA
Rfam family: Bacterial small subunit ribosomal RNA
Source: RNAcentral
UACGGAGGGGACUAGCGUUGUUCGGAAUUACUGGGCGUAAAGCGCACGUAGGCGGAUUUGUAAGUCAGGGGUGAAAUCCCGAGGCUCAACCUCGGAACUGCCUUUGAUACUGGCGAUCUUGAGUCCGGGAGAGGUGAGUGGAACUCCUAGUGUAGAGGUGAAAUUCGUAGAUAUUAGGAAGAACACCAGUGGCGAAGGCGGCUCACUGGCCCGGUACUGACGCUGAUAUGCGAAAGCGUGGGGAGCAAACAGG